RNAcentral lists this ribosomal RNA (441 nucleotides) under uncultured bacterium. Its description in RNAcentral is "partial 16S ribosomal RNA". It matches the Rfam family "Bacterial small subunit ribosomal RNA", at positions 338 to 795 of the family's 1533-position model. The record is from RNAcentral.
CCUACGGGAGGCAGCAGUGGGGAAUAUUGCACAAUGGGGGAAACCCUGAUGCAGCGACGCCGCGUGAGUGAAGAAGUAUUUCGGUAUGUAAAGCUCUAUCAGCAGGAACGAGACAAGACGGUACCUGACUAAGAAGCCCCGGCUAACUACAUGCCAGCAGCCGCGGUAAUACGUAGGGGGCAAGCGUUAUCCGGAAUCACUGGGGGGAAAGGGAGCGUAGACGGCGGUUCAAGCCUGAAGGGAAAGGCGGGGGCCCAACCCCUGGACUGCUUUGGGAACUGUACGGCUGGAGUGCAGGAGAGGUAAGUGGAAUUCCUAGUGUAGCGGUGAAAUGCGUAGAUAUUAGGAGGAACACCAGUGGCGCAGGCGGCUUACUGGACUGUAACUGACGUUGAGGCUCGAAAGCGUGGGGAGCAAACAGGAUUAGAUACCCUAGUAGUC